RNAcentral lists this long non-coding RNA (1115 nucleotides) under Macaca fascicularis (crab-eating macaque). RNAcentral describes it as "lncRNA (ENSMFAG00000058458.1)". Lineage: Eukaryota; Metazoa; Chordata; Mammalia; Primates; Cercopithecidae. The record is from RNAcentral.
UUUUUUUUUUUAGUAGAGACGGGGUUUCACUGUGUUAGCCAGGACGGUCUUGAUCUCCUGACCUCGUGAUCCGCCCGUCUCGGCCUCCCAAAGUGCUGGGAUUACAGGCUUGAGCCACCGCAGCCGGCCCCAUCUGUCCUUUUAAUUCCUUUUCUUCUCCCAGAGUUCCUGCCUCCCCCAUGUCCUGAAAGCUUCACAUCACCCUCUCUCCCAAAGGUUAGUAGGUCUUGAAGCUUCUCUGGCGUCCUCGACAUUUUCCCAGCCCCUUCCUCGAUCUGUAAAUCAAGGCUAUUCCUCGACAUUUUCCCAGCCCCUUCCUCCAUCUGUAAAUCAAGGCUGUUUCUCCUCUCCGCCUACAUCUGCUGCCGAGCAGAGAAGUACAAACUCAGACGCCCAAGAUGAGAGGGGUGGGGAGGAAGGAGUUUGCGAUAAUUCUCCAUUCCCUACAGGUAGUUGGGGUUUUGCUUUUCUUUGGUUGCUUUCAAGUACAUAUAUUUUUUAAUUAGACAUGACUCAUACUUCGAGAUCUAAUCUCUUUAUCAUUGAGUCUUCAUAUGGACCCAAAGCUCCACCCCAAACCUAGCCGGUGUAAGCAUGAGUUCACUAUCAUAAAAGAGCAUUAGUUCCACUCUGACCUUGAAUUACAUGACAAAGCUUCUUCCAACCACUGGGUGUUGGUAGGAUCCAUGCCAAAGUACCCUGCUCUAAUUCCUGAGUAAUACAACCAUAUAUUUUAGAUCCCAUCUACAUAAUUCUACCGGGGGACAUGUUAUCACUUCUUCCCACCUCAUCACUUGCUCCCUUCUCUAACUGUCGUGUGAGUGUGUGGAGCGGAGGAAUUGGAGCGCUGUCUCUGUGACCUACAGAUGUCCUUGGGUAGCCGCUAGACCCCGUCAGAGAAGUGGGGAAAAGCUGGUUCAUGGAUGAUCAGAGAGGCCUUGUUGAAACACUACGGCAACUUCCUAGAAAAGUUUCAGCACGAUAUUGGCAGUUGUGUUCAAGAGCAAAGUGCCGCCCACAGUGUUUGACACAGGCAUGACUCAGGCCAUCAGUACACCCGUACCUUCAGCAUCCUUCUCCAAGACCCAAAUAAAAGUACCCUACUCACCUUCCGG